This 472-nucleotide ribosomal RNA is filed under the name uncultured Alphaproteobacteria bacterium. RNAcentral's name for it is "bacterial SSU rRNA". It matches the Rfam family "Bacterial small subunit ribosomal RNA", at positions 9 to 524 of the family's 1533-position model. The record is from RNAcentral. Lineage: Bacteria; Pseudomonadati; Pseudomonadota; Alphaproteobacteria.
GAGUUUGAUCCUGGCUCAGAGCGAACGCUGGCGGCAGGCUUAACACAUGCAAGUCGAACGGGCGUAGCAAUACGUCAGUGGCAGACGGGUGAGUAACGCGUGGGAACGUACCUUUUGGUUCGGAACAACUGAGGGAAACUUCAGCUAAUACCGAAUAAGCCCUUACGGGGAAAGAUUUAUCGCCGAAAGAUCGGCCCGCGUCUGAUUAGCUUGUUGGUGAGGUAACGGCUCACCAAGGCGACGAUCAGUAGCUGGUCUGAGAGGAUGAUCAGCCACAUUGGGACUGAGACACGGCCCAAACUCCUACGGGAGGCAGCAGUGGGGAAUAUUGGACAAUGGGCGAAAGCCUGAUCCAGCCAUGCCGCGUGAGUGAUGAAGGCCCUAGGGUUGUAAAGCUCUUUUGUGCGGGAAGAUAAUGACGGUACCGCAAGAAUAAAGCCCCGGCUAACUUCGUGCCAGCCGCCGCCGUAAC